GCCAGAGUGGCGUAGUGGUUUGGGCAUUGGACUACAACUCUGGAGACCAGGGUUCAAUUCCCAUCUCAGCCA
RNAcentral lists this transfer RNA (72 nucleotides) under Phrynosoma platyrhinos (Desert horned lizard). RNAcentral's name for it is "tRNA-OTHER". The record is from RNAcentral. Lineage: Eukaryota; Metazoa; Chordata; Lepidosauria; Squamata; Phrynosomatidae.